Molecule: ribosomal RNA, 468 nt
Filed under: uncultured bacterium
Lineage: Bacteria
Description: partial 16S ribosomal RNA
Rfam family: Bacterial small subunit ribosomal RNA
Source: RNAcentral
GACGAACGCUGGCGGCGUGCUUAACACAUGCAAGUCGAACGGAAAGGCCCUGCUUUUGUGGGGUGCUCGAGUGGCGAACGUGUGAGUAACACGUGAGUAACCUGCCCUUGACUUUGGGAUAACUUCAGGAAACUGGGGCUAAUACCGGAUAGGAGCUCCUGCUGCAUGGUGGGGGUUGGAAAGUUUCGGCGGUUGGGGAUGGACUCGCGGCUUAUCAGCUUGUUGGUGGGGUAGUGGCUUACCAAGGCUUUGACGGGUAGCCGGCCUGAGAGGGUGACCGGCCACAUUGGGAAUGAGAUACGGCACAGACUCGUACGGGAGGAAGCAGUGGGGAAUAUUGCACAAUGGGCGGAAGCCUGAUGCAGCAACGCCGCGUGCGGGAUGACGGACUUCGGGUUGUAAACCGCUUUAGCCUGUGACGAAGCGUGAGUGAAGGUAAUGGGUAAAGAAGCACCGGCGAACUACGUG